AUAAUCACCCGGGAGGGGAGUUACCAUGAUCAAGAAGGUAGUUUCCCCAGGGUGAACCUCCUCUUAUUGCACACUUUGGUUGGGUUGUACUUCCCCAAAUGUGUGAAAUUCAACUGUAUAAGUUAUGGUAGUGGGGGACUGUAUUUCUGCAGUUUUUCA
Protopterus annectens (West African lungfish) is the source of this 159-nucleotide small nuclear RNA. RefSeq annotates it as U1 spliceosomal RNA. The transcript has a single exon. The record is from RefSeq and is a predicted model, not a curated record. Lineage: Eukaryota; Metazoa; Chordata; Ceratodontiformes; Protopteridae.